RNAcentral lists this ribosomal RNA (406 nucleotides) under uncultured bacterium. RNAcentral's name for it is "partial 16S ribosomal RNA". It matches the Rfam family "Bacterial small subunit ribosomal RNA", at positions 30 to 526 of the family's 1533-position model. The record is from RNAcentral.
AUUGAACGCUGGCGGCAGGCCUAACACAUGCAAGUCGAGCGAGUGGCGGACGGGUGAGUAAUGUCUGGGAAACUGCCUGAUGGAGGGGGAUAACUACUGGAAACGGUCGCUAAUACCGCAUACCAUCAGAUGUGCCCAGAUGGGAUUAGCUUGUAGGUGGGGUAAUGGCUCACCAAGGCGACGAUCCCUAGCUGGUCUGAGAAGAUGACCAGCAACACUGGAACUGAGACACGGUCCAGACUCCUACGUGAGGCAGCAGUGGGGAAUAUUGCACAAUGGGCGCAAGCCUGAUGCAGCCAUGCCGCGUGUAUGAAGAAGGCCUUCGGGUUGUAAAGUACUUUCAGCGGGGAGGCGUUACUCGCAGAAGAAGCACCGGCUAACUCCGUGCCAGCAGCCGCGGUAAUAC